AUUUGGAAUGUUGGUGGCUAGAGGUAAGUUGGUGGUUUGGAUUAGUGAAUUUUGUGUUUUCAAAGACUGAUUCUAUUCCCUUCCAAAUGAGUUUUAAUGAAAUUUUGCUUGAGGACAAGCAAGAGUUUGAGUAUGGGGGAAUUUGAUGCAUGCAUUUUAUAUCAUCAUUUAGGAGUUAAAUCUGGAGAAAUUUGAUGUAUUUUGAUCAGAGUAGCCAUUUGGAGGAGAUUAAAAUCGAAUUGCAAAAAAAUUUUGAAGUUGAGAAAAAAAAAUGGCCGAGAGCGACACAACCCGCGACACAACUGACUCGGCUUAUGUCGUUUUUACUGGAAAAUUUUUUGACGUGGCAUUUCCGUUACUCCAGCCUUUUUACCUCACUUUUUCUAGAUCCUUCCCCCUUUUACCCAUUCUAGAACAA
Long non-coding RNA from Hevea brasiliensis (rubber tree), 418 nucleotides. RefSeq lists it as uncharacterized. NCBI's taxonomy places the organism in Eukaryota, Viridiplantae, Streptophyta, Magnoliopsida, Malpighiales, Euphorbiaceae. The transcript is spliced from 2 exons. The record is from RefSeq and is a predicted model, not a curated record.